AUCCCGGGGUGAGGGCAUUUGCAAAGUAACUCUUUAAACCUUUCUUAUGCCUCGUAUAAGGAUUCGUCAUCCAUUUGCUAAAAAGUGGUGAUCUUAUUCCGCAACU
Gossypium arboreum is the source of this 106-nucleotide small nucleolar RNA. It matches the Rfam family "Plant small nucleolar RNA R71". From Rfam's summary of the family: R71 is a member of the C/D box family of snoRNAs containing the C (UGAUGA) and D (CUGA) box motifs. The record is from Rfam. NCBI's taxonomy places the organism in Eukaryota, Viridiplantae, Streptophyta, Magnoliopsida, Malvales, Malvaceae.